GGGCAGGCAUUUUAGAUUUGUAGUGGAGAAAAAGAGUAGUUUUGUGGUUGUGGAUAAGAGGGAAAGAGGCAAUGGAUCUAUGGUAGUAGAGGGUUGGAGGGGCUAUGGCAAGGGGCGGAAGGGGAAGUGUAACCAGGUGGGAUAGGGGUUCCUAAAGGGAAUGAAGAUGUUGGGGAGCUAUAAGAGGGUUGGGUGAGGGAAAUGGUAUAAAAGCCCUUCUUGUGUUUGAUAAAAUACCUGUGUGAAACAUUGCCAUAUUGUUGGGUAUUUUUCUCUUCUCUUCUCUUUUUUUCUUCUCUUCUUAUUCUUGAUAGAAACACUGUUGUGCUUUCGAUUAUUGGACUGAGUUGCUUAUGGUCAUUGAGAUUUUCCGAGUCAAAGUUGCCACAAGAUGAAGGUUUGUCUUUGAAGGAAUUGAUGAAGGAUUCUUGAAUGGAGCUCUACACCAUGCAUUUUCUCACUAUCAAGAGAGUAAGUACAGCAGAGUUUUCAUACCUUGCAUUUCCCAUCUUGCGUUUAUUAAAAUUUCAAGAAAUUCCAUAAUUUUGCUACACUAUCAUUUACAUCCUUGCCACUAAAUUCAAAGGUUUUUUUUCUUCUCUAAAUCUUACUCAGUAAUUACCACCAAUUUUUCAUCAUGUACCUAUCAUAUCCAAUAACUAUUACAAUAAUUUUGUACCUUCAUCAAACUAUAAAUGGCUAAUCAGUUUACUCAAUCAUCAAACUAUUCAAAAAUUCAGAACACCACUCACACCACUUGUCCUAUAUAUAAAGUAUACAAGUUGUUUAGUGUGAAUUAUUUGUCACACUCUUUGCAUUAACUGAUUCAAUAUUUUAAAACUCAACAACCCUUAUUUCAUAUUUUUUAUUCGUAAAUUACAAAUAGUGUGUAUAUAUAUGUAUGUAUAUAUGUGCUAUUUGUAAUCAACUUUUUGGAAGUUAAGUGGAAGAUAAUGGACUAGCAUUGCAAUUUAGGGAAGAUAAGAAAACUGUUGAAGCAUUUCAUUAACAUGUUGUGUGCAUGAGACUUGUUUGGACAAAUUAAGGGGGGCUAGCAAAAACAUGCCUUUGGACUUUGCAAUUAGUUUUAGAUAACACACAAAGUGAUAAAAAAAAAUAAAAAAUAAAAAACUAAAUACACGAGUUAUAAAUGUUUCAUAACACAAUAUCGAUGCACAUGCUCUUUCAUGCACGUUUUGAGUUUUGGUUUUGCUAAUGCUGUCAUUCUUGGUGUGAUGUUUCUUAACAUCGUAUGUUUCUCUCUUGUUUUUUAGUUUUUCAUUUGUUGAAUUGUGUUUUGUUGGUAUAACAAAACAACUAUCCAACACCUUUGAUUAUAAAAAAAAAAAAAAUUUAAUGAGUGGGAAGUCGUGUAUUUAUGUUGACAGAUUUGAUGAUGCAGUGGCAGCGGCUCAAAGAGCAGCACGGCUAGACUUAAGUAGCAAGGAAGUGAACAUGGUGGUUAGGAGGACACGGGCGGUGGCAAUGGCUCGAUCUAACGAGCCACUUACAGGUCCAAACUUGGUCAAUUUGAGAAAGCAAUCAAGGACUGGACUGCUGCCCUUAAUGUGCGCCCACCUUACAGGAAAGCCAGAUUAAGAAGAGUCAAUUGAUAUGCCAAGGUUAUGGCAAGCAAGACAAAGAUCUACAUUGUGCUCGUGUAUGUUGGCGAGGGCGAGUUUUUUGACAAAAUAAUAAGGCAUUGUUUUUUGAGCUUCUACUCUCUGAGCACCUAUAAUUUCAUUCAUAAUAUAAUCAAUUGUGUAAUGCAUUAUAUCUUAAUUUAGGCAUUUGCUCAUGUCAUGCUUACCAUUUUGUUGUGGUAAUGUGUGUUCUAUUGAGGCUCAUUUAUGUAAAUCAUGUGGGUACCGAGUCUUGUAUUUGUCUGAUAAUAUUCCCUUAUUGACCCUUUUAUAACUAGGCCAAACUAGGAAGACUUAAAUAGGAUGAAACUAGGAGAUAUUUUCAGCAGCUCAUCAAUGCUGUAGACUACUGCCACAGUAGAGGCAUGUACCAUAGAGACUUAAAGCCCGAGAAUCUGCUUCUAGACUCAUUUGGUGUUCUCAAGGUUUCAGACUUUGGAUUGAGUGCAUUUUCCCAGCAAGUGCGGGAAGACGUGUUGUUUCACACUGCCUGCGGAACCCCAAAUUAUGUUGCUCCUGAGGUAUCAAUUAUGAUGUCAUGGAAAUGGAUGGUCACUUUGAUGCAAAAUUUUUUCCUUUUCUUAUUAGUUUCUUGCAUUUGUGAUACUUCUUUCUUUCUUUUUUUUCCCCCUUUCUAUCAAGUGCUCACCGAUAAAGGUUAUGAUGGUACAGCAGCUGAUAUAUGGUCUUGUGGGGUCAUUCUGUUUGUUCUUAUGGCUGGAUACUUACCUUUUGACGAGCCGAACCACAUGGCUUUGAAAGAAUUCAAAAACUUAGUUUUUUUAAGCUUUUAUAAUUUUUUAAUAUGUGUAAUUACUGUUAAUUUUUUUUAUUAAUUUCUUUGUAUAUGUUUUUGAACAUUUAACUUUCAUUUAUGAAAUAAAUGACGUUAUU
Molecule: non-coding RNA, 2537 nt
Organism: Camellia sinensis
Lineage: Eukaryota; Viridiplantae; Streptophyta; Magnoliopsida; Ericales; Theaceae
Source: RefSeq, a predicted model, not a curated record